Molecule: long non-coding RNA, 228 nt
Filed under: Gallus gallus (chicken)
Lineage: Eukaryota; Metazoa; Chordata; Aves; Galliformes; Phasianidae
Source: RNAcentral
GGACUGACCGAACAGAGUCUAAGCUUGUGCCAUAGUAGUUGUUCUUAUACUCGCCGUACUCGAUAAACUUGUUAUUCUGUACGUCUGUCUCAAACAAGUGCUUGGAAAUGAAAAUGUAUUCAACACCAUCGCUUUCUUGGCUUCUUCUUGCUCGGGUGGUGUGUGGCACUGUUACGCCAUAAUGCUGCGUGUCACUGAUCAGCAAUUUUCGUUUAAGCUCAUUCAGUC